AGAUUGAACGCUAGCGGGAUGCUUUACACAUGCAAGUCGAACGGCAGCGCGGACUUCGGUCUGGCGGCGAGUGGCGAACGGGUGAGUAAUAUAUCGGAACGUGCCCAGUAGCGGGGGAUAACUACGCGAAAGCGUGGCUAAUACCGCAUACGCCCUACGGGGGAAAGGGGGGAUUCUUCGGAACCUCGUCAACUAUUGGAGCGGCCGAUAUCAGAUUAGCUAGUUGUGAGGUAAAGGCUCACCAAGGCGACGAUCUGUAGCUGGUUUGAGAGGACGACCAGCCACACUGGGACUGAGACACGGCCCAGACUCCUACGGGAGCAGCAGUGGGGAAUUUGGACAAUGGGGGAAACCUGAUCCAGCCAAUCCCGACGUGUGCGAUGAAGG
Molecule: ribosomal RNA, 387 nt
Filed under: uncultured soil bacterium
Lineage: Bacteria
Description: bacterial SSU rRNA
Rfam family: Bacterial small subunit ribosomal RNA
Source: RNAcentral